Pygocentrus nattereri (red-bellied piranha) is the source of this 240-nucleotide long non-coding RNA. NCBI's taxonomy places the organism in Eukaryota, Metazoa, Chordata, Actinopteri, Characiformes, Serrasalmidae. The record is from Ensembl.
AAGCAAGACCACGUCCAGAGUCCAAAGGGUCUAAAUUUAACUGAGUGUGUUUUCACCCCAUAGGGUUCCAUUGGGCUGCCUGGCAUUCCAGGUAUUGAUGGAUUCAAGGGUGAAAAAGGAGAGCGGGGUGAAAAGGGUGACAUGGGAGAAGAAGGCCAGAAAGGUGAAGUUGGUGAGAAGGUAAGCCUGUAAAAGGAUAUAUCUGUGUAACCAAUGAAUUUCUUACAUAAAAGAAACUAC